GCCGCCGUAGUAUAGCCCGGUCAAGUAUGCGGGCCUUUCGAGCCCGUGACCCGGGUUCAAAUCCCGGCGGCGGCACCA
Molecule: transfer RNA, 78 nt
Filed under: Acidilobales archaeon
Lineage: Archaea; Thermoproteati; Thermoproteota; Thermoprotei; Acidilobales
Description: tRNA-Glu
Rfam family: tRNA
About the family: Transfer RNA (tRNA) molecules are approximately 80 nucleotides in length. Their secondary structure includes four short double-helical elements and three loops (D, anti-codon, and T loops).
Source: RNAcentral